RNAcentral lists this long non-coding RNA (1105 nucleotides) under Homo sapiens (human). RNAcentral describes it as "HSALNT0313505". The record is from RNAcentral. Lineage: Eukaryota; Metazoa; Chordata; Mammalia; Primates; Hominidae.
AAGGUACUGAAGUAGAGUUCUGGCUGUUCCUUACGGACAUCUCUGGUGAAUAAUCUGAGAAGGCCUCACUUAUAAUUUGGCUUGAAGAAAACACGAGAGCAAGUCAUGCAAUGUUCAAGUAAGAGUGCAGCAGUCAGAAGAAAAAGCUAUGCAAGGGCCCUAAGGUUGAAAGUGUUCUUAGUGUCUUUGAGAAACAUCAAGGAAUGUGCAAAAGGCAGAAUGAUAGAAGAUGAGAUCAGAGAGGGGAAGUAAAUUCAACAACAGAAAUUGAGGAUGAGGAACAUGGUGUUGCAGUUCAAACCAGUUCCAGCCAAAAUGGACUCUAGUCACAAACAAAUAGUAAUAACAAUCCAAACUUGUGGCUGAAUAGAGUUCUGAAGUUUUGAGAAAGAGAUACCUUUAGUAACCUAGACUCUGCUGGAUCAUAUGGCCCAAGACGCCAGUCUGAUUGCACAGCAGUCGACCUGCUGCAGAUGCUUUCCCACUUUGGGAUCCAGAGAACCUUCCCCUUCUGAGCAGCAAAACCAAAUAAAGCAGUUCUCAGGAUACAAAGACAAGACUGAGGAAGAUCCUAAUAAGGUGUUGCAAGGUGACACAGGACAAACUUUGUCCAAAGGAAAUUGAUCUGACAAGAACUUCUGGACUUGUCAGUUCUUAGGGCUGACUGGUCUAUCCUCUUUCUAUUGACUUUGGCUUACUAGACUCAAGCAGAAAGUGACAAGGGAAGAAAAGGAUACAAACAGAAGCAAGUUUCCAAGAACAAGGUUUACAUCAGGAAGAGCCAAUCAAAGAUCAUAUCUGGAGGACUGCUGCAAAGUUGUGAUAAAUGACCAAAUAGUAUUUUUAUAGAAGGUGGAAUGAAUGACAGACUAAAGAUUUCAGCUGAUUAAAGAAAUUAUGGAGUGCAUCAUUCUCAGUUUAUAUUGAACUGGGGUUCCUGAGAAAUUCCUCCUUAUAAAUUUACAUGGAAAUUAUAAUUUUUACUAGUUGAUUUCAGUUAAUUAGCCUACUGAAUAAUUUGAUUCUUGCACUCACUAAAAGAUCAUAGAGCACAAGAAUACCAUUUACAAAAUACUUUAAAAGUGGGGAUAUAAACACAAAUAAG